GUCCAGACUCCUACGGGAGGCAGCAGUGAGGAAUAUUGGUCAAUGGCCGGAAGGCUGAACCAGCCAAGCCGCGUGAGGGAGGAAGGCGCAGAGCGUCGCAGACCUCUUUUGCCGGGGGACAAAAGGCCGGACUCGUCCGGUCCUGAGGGUACCCGGAGAAAAAGCAUCGGCUAACUCCGUGCCAGCAGCCGCGGUAAUACGGAGGAUGCGAGCGUUAUCCGGAUUUAUUGGGUUUAAAGGGUGCGCAGGCGGCCUGUAAGGACGGGGGAAAACGCGGGGGGCAAACCCCCGGCGAGCCGUUGAAACUGGCGGGCUGGAGUUGGAGAGAAGUACGCGGAAUGCGCGGUGUAGCGGUGAAGUGCUUAGAUAUCGCGCAGAACCCCGAUUGCGAAGGCAGCGUACCGGCUCCACACUGACGCUGAGGCAUGAAAGCGUGGGUAUCGAACAGGAUUAGAUACCCCGGUA
Molecule: ribosomal RNA, 465 nt
Filed under: uncultured bacterium
Lineage: Bacteria
Description: bacterial SSU rRNA
Rfam family: Bacterial small subunit ribosomal RNA
Source: RNAcentral